UUUAAUGUGGUGUAUGGCAUUUUACAUUUUGGUUGUAGCGGAAGCUAGUAGCUCAUUAUUU
RNAcentral lists this transfer RNA (61 nucleotides) under Rhinebothrium fulbrighti. RNAcentral describes it as "tRNA-Gln". Lineage: Eukaryota; Metazoa; Platyhelminthes; Cestoda; Rhinebothriidea; Rhinebothriidae. The record is from RNAcentral.